UACGGAGGGUGCAAGCGUUAUCCGGAUUCACUGGGUUUAAAGGGUGCGUAGGCGGGCAUUUAAGUCAGUGGUGAAAUACCUGAGCUUAACUUGGGAACUGCCAUUGAUACUAUUUGUCUUGAAUGUCGUGGAGGUUAGCUGAAUAUGUCAUGUAGCGGUGAAAUGCUUAGAUAUGACAUAGAACACCUAUUGCGAAGGCAGCUAACUACGCGAAUAUUGACGCUGAGGCACGAAAGCGUGGGGAUCAAACAGG
Molecule: ribosomal RNA, 253 nt
Filed under: uncultured bacterium
Lineage: Bacteria
Description: partial 16S ribosomal RNA
Rfam family: Bacterial small subunit ribosomal RNA
Source: RNAcentral